GGGCCCAUAGCUCAUCUGGUAGAGCGCCUCAUUUGCAAUGAGGAGGUGACCGGUUCGAUCCCGGUUGGGUCCA
This 73-nucleotide transfer RNA is filed under the name Minisyncoccota bacterium. Its description in RNAcentral is "tRNA-Ala". It matches the Rfam family "tRNA". From Rfam's summary of the family: Transfer RNA (tRNA) molecules are approximately 80 nucleotides in length. Their secondary structure includes four short double-helical elements and three loops (D, anti-codon, and T loops). Further hydrogen bonds mediate the characteristic L-shaped molecular structure. tRNAs have two regions of fundamental functional importance: the anti-codon, which is responsible for specific mRNA codon recognition, and the 3' end, to which the tRNAs corresponding amino acid is attached (by aminoacyl-tRNA synthetases). tRNAs cope with the degeneracy of the genetic code in two manners: having more than one tRNA (with a specific anti-codon) for a particular amino acid; and 'wobble' base-pairing, i.e. permitting non-standard base-pairing at the 3rd anti-codon position. Lineage: Bacteria; Bacillati; Minisyncoccota. The record is from RNAcentral.